This is an RNA transcript of Rhodamnia argentea, 3715 nucleotides long. It is a transcript of the gene named protein FLOWERING LOCUS D, with no coding region annotated. NCBI's taxonomy places the organism in Eukaryota, Viridiplantae, Streptophyta, Magnoliopsida, Myrtales, Myrtaceae. The transcript is spliced from 7 exons. The record is from RefSeq and is a predicted model, not a curated record.
CACCGACCUUCACUCUCCUCUCGUUCGUCAGUCCUCACUCCCUCUCGUCUCUCUCAUUUCUUCUUCUAAAACCCUACUCUUCUCUCUCUCGCAGCGAGACAGAGCCGCGAGAAUGGAGCCUCCGAGCGAUUCGCCCGACCCAUUCGCUGAAUUCCCUCCCCUCGAGUUCUACCCCUUCGAGCCCCUCCCAAACCCUAGCCCCAGCCCCGUCCCUCCCCCACCUCCCAACCCUCCGUCCCCGCAAAACCCUAAUCCCACCUUGGCCUCCGCCUCCGCCUCUGCCUCGGGCUCCGCCUACAAUCCCCUCCUCUCCUUCACCGUCCCCAAGAAGCGUAGGCGAGGCCGGUCGCAGCGGAAUGUGGCCCCCUUCCAGCUCCCUCCCUUGCCGUCUGGUAAUCCUAGUUCCGCAUCUGCAUCCGCAUCGGCCUCUUCGUCUGCUCUGGUUGCUGCUGUUUCGAGUAAGCCUGCUCUGGAAAACCCUAGCUCUGUCUCUGACGCUUCUGAUGAGAUAAUCGUGAUCAAUAGAGAGUCCACGGCUGAGGCCCUCAUUGCACUCACGGCUGGGUUCCCAGCCGACUCGCUCACUGACGAAGAGAUCGAUUUCGGUGUUGUGCCAGUGAUCGGCGGGAUCGAACAGGUUAACUAUAUUUUGAUUAGGAACCACAUUAUUGCGAAAUGGCGUGAGAAUGUGUCCAAUUGGGUUACCAAGGAGAUGUUUGUGGAUGUUAUCCCUAAACAGUGCACUUCUCUACUGGACUCUGCUUAUGAUUACUUGGUUUCUCAUGGGUAUAUUAAUUUUGGGGUCACGCCCGCAAUUAAAGACAAGAUUCCGGCAGAGCCGAGCAGGCAUAGCGUGGUUAUUGUCGGCGCUGGCCUUGCAGGAUUGGCUGCAGCACGGCAGUUGAUGCGGUUGGGUUUUAAGGUGACAGUUUUGGAGGGUAGGAAGAGAGCAGGUGGGAGGGUUUAUACAAAGAAGAUGGAAGGUGGGAACAAGCUAUCUGCUGCUGCCGAUUUAGGGGGAAGUGUAUUGACUGGGACAUUGGGGAACCCCCUCGGAAUUGUUGCUCGGCAGCUAGGGCAUCCACUUCACAAGGUGAGGGAUAAGUGCCCUAUUUACAGGGUGGAUGGGAAGCCGGUUGACUCCGACAUAGACAUGAAGGUUGAGACUGCUUUUAACCGUCUCUUGGAUAAGGCCAGCAGGCUUAGGCAGUCUAUGGGAGAGGUGUCCAUGGAUGUUUCGCUUGGAUCCGCCCUGGAAACAUUUAGGCCAGUUUAUGGGGAUGCUGUAAAUGCUGAGGAAAUGAACUUGUUCAAUUGGCAUCUUGCCAAUUUGGAAUAUGCUAAUGCAGGUUUGCUCUCAAAGCUUUCCCUUGCAUUUUGGGACCAGGAUGAUCCUUAUGAUAUGGGAGGUGAUCACUGUUUUUUGCAUGGAGGGAAUGGAAGGCUGGUUCAGGCUUUGGCUGAGAAUGUACCUAUUUUGUAUGAGAGAACUGUGCAUACUAUCAGAUAUGGCAAUGAUGGUGUGCAAGUCAUGGCAGGUAGCCAGGUUUUUGAGGGUGAUAUGGCACUUUGUACUGUUCCUCUUGGUGUUCUGAAAAGUGGGUCUAUCAAGUUUAUUCCCGAGUUGCCUCAGAGAAAGCUUGACGGGAUAAAGAGGCUGGGAUUUGGGCUGCUAAAUAAGGUUGCAAUGCUUUUUCCCCAUGUGUUUUGGGGCACAGAUCUUGACACCUUUGGACACCUAAAAGAUGAUCCAAGCCGCCGUGGGGAGUUCUUUUUGUUUUAUAGCUAUGCAACGGUUGCAGGUGGUCCUCUCUUGAUUGCAUUAGUAGCUGGGGAAGCUGCACAUAAGUUUGAGAGCAUGCCCCCUACUGAUGCGGUGACGCGGGUUCUUCAAAUUCUUAAGGGUAUUUAUGAACCUCAGGGGAUCAAGGUACCAGAUCCUAUCCAAACUGUCUGCACCAGGUGGGGUGGUGAUCCUUUUUGCUUAGGUUCCUACUCUAAUGUGGCGGUAGGGGCCUCUGGAGAUGACUAUGACAUUUUAGGUGAAAGUGUGGGAGAUGGAAGGCUCUUCUUUGCUGGGGAGGCAACUACCAGAAGGUAUCCUGCAACUAUGCAUGGGGCCUUUCUGACUGGGCUGAGAGAAGCUGCUAAUAUGGUUCAUCAUGCUAAUGCUCGUGCUUCAAAGAAAAAGAUUGACCAGACUCCAUCGAAGAAUGCCCAUUCCUGUGCUUCCAUUCUAGCUGACUUAUUCAGGGAACCUGAUUUGGAAUUUGGGAGCUUUGCUGUCAUUUAUGAGAAGAACUCUGAUCCCAGUUCUGGGGCAAUUUUGAGAGUGACUUUUAGCGAGCCUCGUAAAAAAGCUCAUGAGGGUCUGAAGUCAGACCAGCAUACCAAUAAACUACUAUUUCAACAGCUUCAGUCACAUUUUAAUCAGCAACAACAACUUCACAUUUACACCUUGUUGUCAAAGCAACAGGCUCUUGAGCUGAGAGAAGUGAGAGGAGGUGAUGAGAUGAGGUUUUAUCAUCUUUCUGAAAAGCUUGGGAUAAAGCUGAUAGGGAGGAAAGGUUUAGGACCUGCCGCUGAUUCUGUGAUUGCUUCCAUUAAAGCUGAAAGGGGCAAGCGCAAACCUGCUUCAGUUUCUUUGGCUACUAAAUCAGGUACAUUGAUGAAUAAAAGAGGUGCUCCGAAGCAAAAAGUUGUCAGAAAAGCUAAAAUAGUGGGCAAAAGUGGAGGUCUGGGAGCUCUUCCUGGUUUAAAUGCUGAAAGCAGUAAGGUGACACAUGAUGGUAGGAGCACAAAUCAAGCCACUCCUGGCCCAUCUGAGACAGGGCAAGUUCAUGACGACAUAACGAAGCAAUUAGAAGAAAGUGUACACCUUGCAGACAGGUGAACGGUGAGAUCACAGAUUUAUAUGUUCACAUUUUGAUGGCUUUGGAACUUCGCUUUCAUCAUUCAUUUCGUUCAGACUACGAUCUUCCCAGCAUAAGAGCUGAGCUUCCAGGUUCCUCUCAAGAAGUUGACAUGUAUCGAUGACCGGUUAGUUUGCGAUGUUUUGAGCAGGUUGUGCAUUGCAUCUAUGAUUCUAUAUGGCCUUGCUUUUGAUGCUGGUGUCCCUUGAGCUGUGUAAAGUUAGUUAUCGUUGGUUAAUCAUCAUGGGUCACCAACAUUUGCAUGACUAAAUAGAAGCUCCAAAUGGAUUUUGGCUAGGCUUUGUGGACUAGCAGAUGAUAGAUUGUUAAAAAACUCAUUCUGAAGCAAGAGCUGGUGAACCAGUUUCCUCCCAGCCACCUCCAUGAUAAGAGAAUGUCUUCAUGAAGGCCUGUAUUUCAUUGACGUUGUCAUAGUGGCAAUAUUUGAAUGUGGCAUCUCUUAUUGCCGCUGAUCGUUCUGACUGCUGCCAAUCAAGUGAUGGAGUGAGAUUACCCUUUACUACCUCAAGGAAGCAGGACCUAUAAUUUUCUGUUCUUUCGUUGAGGACGUCACCAUCAUGCUAUUUUUUUGGAAAACGUUUUAAGGCAGAUGAUCGAAGAAUUUUUUAUGCUUCCAAAGUAUUCAUUGGCGAAAUUCAGCUAUACAGCCUGAGGUUCAAAGAUUCCUCUAGGUGUGACAGAAAGGAGACUCCCUUUUCUUUUGUGAAAUUCCAGAUACAAACGUAAAUACAUAAGAUACUUAGUUCAAUUUAGCAGAUGCCAGUUUGGAAAUCAUCGUGGAA